This 525-nucleotide ribosomal RNA is filed under the name uncultured bacterium. RNAcentral describes it as "bacterial SSU rRNA". It matches the Rfam family "Bacterial small subunit ribosomal RNA", at positions 28 to 587 of the family's 1533-position model. The record is from RNAcentral.
AACGAACGCUGGCGGCAGGCCUAACACAUGCAAGUCGAACGAGAAGUCAGAGCUUGCUCUGAUGGACAGUGGCAGACGGGUGAGUAACGCGUGGGAAUUUACCCAGUGGUACGGGAUAACUCAGGGAAACUUGAGCUAAUACCGCAUAAGCCCUUCGGGGGAAAGAUUUAUCGCCAUUGGAUGAGCCCGCGUUAGAUUAGCUUGUUGGUGAGGUAAAAGCUCACCAAGGCUACGAUCUAUAGCUGGUCUGAGAGGAUGAUCAGCCACACUGGGACUGAGACACGGCCCAGACUCCUACGGGAGGCAGCAGUGGGGAAUAUUGCACAAUGGGCGCAAGCCUGAUGCAGCCAUGCCGCGUGAGUGAUGAAGGCCCUAGGGUUGUAAAGCUCUUUCAUCGGUGAAGAUAAUGACGGUAGCCGAAGAAGAAGCCCCGGCUAACUCCGUGCCAGCAGCCGCGGUAAUACGGAGGGGGCUAGCGUUGUUCGGAAUUACUGGGCGUAAAGCGCGCGUAGGUGGAUUGGUCAG